Molecule: ribosomal RNA, 251 nt
Filed under: uncultured bacterium
Lineage: Bacteria
Description: partial 16S ribosomal RNA
Rfam family: Bacterial small subunit ribosomal RNA
Source: RNAcentral
CGAAGUCGUGAGACGGAGCCAAUCCCAGAAAACCGAUCGUAGUCCGGAUUGCAGUCUGCAACUCGACUGCAUGAAGUCGGAAUCGCUAGUAAUCGCGGAUCAGCAUGCCGCGGUGAAUACGUUCCCGGGUCUUGUACACACCGCCCGUCAAACAAUGGGAGUGGUGUUUACCAGAAGUCGUUAGCCUAACCGCAAGGAGGGCGGCGACCACGGUGAGCACCGUGACUAAUGUUAAGUCGUAACAAGGUACC